GAUCCUGGCUCAGGAUGAACGCUAGCUACAGGCUUAACACAUGCAAGUCGAGGGGCAGCAUGAACUUAGCUUGCUAAGUUUGAUGGCGACCGGCGCACGGGUGAGUAACACGUAUCCAACCUGCCGAUGACUCGGGGAUAGCCUUUCGAAAGAAAGAUUAAUACCGAUGGCAUAGUUCUUCCGCAUGGUGGAACUAUUAAAGAAUUUCGGUUCAUCGAUGGGGAUGCGUUCCAUUAGGUUGG
RNAcentral lists this ribosomal RNA (242 nucleotides) under uncultured bacterium. RNAcentral's name for it is "partial 16S ribosomal RNA". It matches the Rfam family "Bacterial small subunit ribosomal RNA", at positions 15 to 249 of the family's 1533-position model. The record is from RNAcentral.